This 397-nucleotide ribosomal RNA is filed under the name uncultured bacterium. Its description in RNAcentral is "partial 16S ribosomal RNA". It matches the Rfam family "Bacterial small subunit ribosomal RNA", at positions 523 to 918 of the family's 1533-position model. The record is from RNAcentral.
AUACGUAGGGGGCGAGCGUUGUCCGGAAUGAUUGGGCGUAAAGGGCGCGUAGGCGGCGCGGUAAGUCUGGAGUGAAAGUCCUGCUUUCAAGGUGGGAAUUGCUUUGGAUACUGCCGCGCUUGAGUGCAGGAGAGGUUAUCGGAAUUCCCGGUGUAGCGGUGAAAUGCGUAGAGAUCGGGAGGAACACCAGUGGCGAAGGCGGGUAACUGGACUGCAACUGACGCUGAGGCGCGAAAGUGUGGGGAGCAAACAGGAUUAGAUACCCUGGUAGUCCACACUGUAAACGAUGAAUGCUAGGUGUAAGAGGUAUCGACCCCUUUUGUGCCGACGUUAACACAUUAAGUAUUCCACCUGGGGAGUACGGCCGCAAGGCUGAAACUCAAAUGAAUUGACGGGG